GACGAACGCUGGCGGCGUGCCUAAUACAUGCAAGUCGAGCGAACAGAGAAGGAGCUUGCUCCUUCGACGUUAGCGGCGGACGGGUGAGUAACACGUGGGCAACCUACCUUAUAGUUUGGGAUAACUCCGGGAAACCGGGGCUAAUACCGAAUAAUCUGUUUCACCUCAUGGUGAAACACUGAAAGACGGUUUCGGCUGUCGCUAUAGGAUGGGCCCGCGGCGCAUUAGCUAGUUGGUGAGGUAACGGCUCACCAAGGCGACGAUGCGUAGCCGACCUGAGAGGGUGAUCGGCCACACUGGGACUGAGACACGGCCCAGACUCCUACGGAGGCAGCAGUAGGGAAUCUUCCACAAUGGGCGAAAGCCUGAUGGAGCAACGCCGCGUGAGUGAAGAAGGAUUUCGGUUCGUAAAACUCUGUUGUAAGGGAGAACAAGUACAGUAGUAACUGGCUGUACCUUGACGGUACCUUAUUAGAAAGCCACGGCUAACUACGUGCCAGCGCCGC
Molecule: ribosomal RNA, 506 nt
Filed under: uncultured bacterium
Lineage: Bacteria
Description: bacterial SSU rRNA
Rfam family: Bacterial small subunit ribosomal RNA
Source: RNAcentral